Helianthus annuus (common sunflower) is the source of this 858-nucleotide long non-coding RNA. RefSeq lists it as uncharacterized. The record is from RefSeq and is a predicted model, not a curated record. The transcript is spliced from 5 exons. Lineage: Eukaryota; Viridiplantae; Streptophyta; Magnoliopsida; Asterales; Asteraceae.
UAUCUGUCUUCUCUCAGCCCUCUCUAUAUUCUCUCUUCUUUCUCUUAAUAAAUCAUCAUAAGGUUUCUUCAAUGGUUUGCAAGGAUUGUGGAUAAUGGGAUCAUCCAUCCAAGGUGUACGCCUCCCCUCAAUCGAAAAUCACUGGCCACCAUAGCAACAUGCUUCACUUCCAUUGCUUCGUUUUUUUCAAUCUCUACAUCCCAUCUUGCUUUAUGUAUCUAUUUUUUUAACCUAAUCAAUCUCUGUUCUUUUUCUAUUUGUAUGGUUUCAACAACAACUGUGUAACUCAGGGUGUUCAGAUUUAGGGUUCUGACAAAAAUGGGGAUGGUUACGGGUUCCGAUGGUGGAUCGACCUUCCAACCAUGCUCCGGCAAAGAUUCCGGCAACUACGUUAUUGUCAAAGUUGUAAGUAUUUGGUAAAGGAUCCUAAGUUUGCUCGCAAAACGGGAAUUCUUUGAUCGCAAUUGGAGGCUUGUGGGAACCUUCUGAUGGCAACGAUCCUUCAGUUGAAAACUCAACAUUGGUUCAAACGGCUAUCAGGCAUGCCAAAGACAUCACAGGACUAGAUUUAAAGAGUUGUCAUCAUUGGAAUCCUUUUCUUAAGGUUCAUAGUUCCCUUUCCUCCUCUAUUGCCAUGGCCAGCCCCCUUAGUUUGCAAACGUCCGACGGUGGUACAAGCAGUCAUAUGUUCCUUAGUGAACUCCGUGAAGUGAGCACCGGACCUAUCAUGAUAAUGGUUUGUAGAAAAUGGGACGUGACAAGUGUUAACGGCAGGUACAUGAGCACCGACUAUAUUGUUACUGACAUAAAGAGAGGUGUGAUGUAUUUGCACCGCAAGGAAUAACAUUGCCCACUGUU